GGCAACCGGCUCGGGUCUCCUUACGCACUGUGGAAGCUUUGUUCCUUCGCUCUUUGCAAUAAAUCUUGCUACUGCUCACACUUUGGGUCCACACUGCCUUUAUGAGCUGUAACACUCACCGGGAAGGCCUGCAGCUUCACUCCUGAGCCAGCGAGACCACGAGCCCACCAGGAGGAACGAACAACUCCAGAGGCGCCGCCUUAAGAGCUGUAACCCGGCAAAGGUCUGCAGCUUCACUCCUGAGCCAGGGAGACCACGAACCCACCAGAAGGAAGAAACUCCAAACACAUCCGAACAUCAGAAGGAACAAACUCCAGACGCGCCACCUUAAGAGCUGUAACACUCACUGGGAGGGUCCGCGGCUUCAUUCUUGAAGUCAGUGAGACCAAGAACCCACCAAUUCCGGACACAUAACCACUAUGCUAGACCAGAUACAGGAAAUCUUCAUAACCUCAGGAAGUUCUCCUGUGCCUCUUUGCAGUCACUUCCUCUCCGUGUCUUCCUCCCACCCCCGCCAUCUGAGGCAACCACAACUGGAAUUUCUAUCAUAUUGUGUUAAAUUACUACUUCUAGAAAUUCAUGUAAAUGAAAUCAACCAGAAUGUGAUGUUUUCAGAUAUAUGAUCUCUGGUUGUUUUGUGAUCCCAGGAUCUACUGAGAUGUAUAGCAUAAGAAGUUAUACACAUCCUGGAUUUUGUAAGUUUCCCAGCUUCUCCAUUGUUCUUGAGUAUCAUUUUUCAGGGCAAUCAUAAAAAUGGGCAGGGCAUGAAGCAUUGCACUUCUAAAACUUGCAAAUCUGAAACCUGGAUUUCCAAACAUAUCAGAGGUAUGUGUAAAAUAAGAAUACCUAUUUUCUGAGUGAAGGCUUGAGGGAGUCCUCUAUGAAUAAAUGACACUAUUUUGACUACCUAGAGGUCAUUUUUGUGUUCCUUUGUUUUAUUUGUUAGACAGGUGGAGCUGCUUGGUAUUUAAAUUCUACCCAGGAGGAAUGUUACUGUAUUUCUUUGGAUUACCUAUCAUUUUCUCCACUGAGAUGAUGAAAGGUUUCAGAUGUCAGAGGAUAAUGGAAAACAGUGAGGUGAAGAGUUCAGCUUUCUGCACAUGCAUCUGACUUUUACCGUCUUGUAAGACAGAGAAUCUAGAUUCUUAUGGCUUAUUAGAAUUUUCUAGGAAGCUUUUAAUAUAUAUCUUUAUACUUGGCUUUACCCCAGUCUUUCUAGGGGUAGGGACUUGAGCAUCAGAUAUUUUCAAAAUCCCCAACUGAUUCUAAUGUGCAGGAGGUUGUGAAUCAUUGGUCUAAUGUCAAGUCAAUGAUAUUCUCCAAAAUCAAGUUUCUCAUCUAUAUAAUAAAAAUGUUGGAUUAUAAAAUGGCUUCCACUUUUUUUUGAAAGGGGACACAAAUCUCAAUCUAUAUCUUAAGAAAAAUCUUAACAUUUGUGGAAAUAAACAAAGACCAACCAAAUUAGAAAACAAAAGCUUUUAUUCAAAGCUUGCUAUAGCAAGGGAGUUAGCCUUUGUCCCUUGCAUUUUGGCAGAGACUCAAAGGCAGGCAGAGGAGUGGAAAAGUUUUAAUUAGUGGAGAAAGAGAAGGUUUCAAUUAUGCCCUGAUCAAAGGCUUUUGGCAUGGGGAAUGCUACAGGCUAACUAGAAGUGGGACAUCCUAUGGAAUGGCUAAGGGAUACAUACAUUCUCUGAUUGGUCCUAAGUUGGACAUGGGAACCAAAAUUAGAAAAGUUGUAAUUUAUUAAGUUCCGACUAUUCAGAGCUGAUUGUUACAGAAUUUUUUGCUUCUAGAUUGUUACUCGAGAUGGCAAUCUGGCUUUCCACAAGUCUGACUUACGGCAGGCUGGCUUCCUGAUUGGGAUCCUAGGCAGGUUGCUGCCAGUUAUAGGUCAGAGUUUUAUUUUUAUAUAUGGUCUGGCCAUGGUCCAUUGGUAUAUUCAGUCUCUCACAUUUAUAAUCCAAAUUCCUGUCACUCCCUUCUCCCUGUCUCCCACAAAAAAAAUAAAAGGAAAGGAAAGGCUUAAACCUUAUCUCAUAUAAUAGUGGAAUCUAUUCCCUACUUUAGUUCUCAUCAAUCAUCUCCUUCCUCUCUAUCCUGGAGGGAAAGCAGAAUUGCCUGAAUGUACCUCCUGAGUAUUGGCAGCCUGCUUUUCUGCAGUUAUCUAGCUCAUAAGCAUUGUUUCAGCAUCUCUGAAACAUGAUCUCCAUUCCCGUAGAAGGACCCAAGUUAGAGCAGCUCUUUCUCUGCUUUCCCUGUAACAUAAACAUGGCUAUUAGUAUCACGUUAUUACUAAAGUUUUACAGAUUAUGGAAGUGGUGUUGGGAUACUUUUAGCAAAAAGAAUAAAGCAAAUCAUAAUAUAAUACCCUGAAUUCUAAAAUUCAUCGACCAUCUCCACCACAAGAACAUUCUUACUGGUCGUCUUCUGAGAUUUCACUUCAUACCAUGUUGCAGAGCAAACUCCCCAUGUCCGCCCUUCCAUUAAUUCUCUCUUCUGCUUCUUGUGCACACCAAGGUCACUCUUAACACCAUUCUGACAGCAUUUUGUUUCAAAGGUAUAGCAGGAGGAAAUUGAGCAUGUUUCUUAUAUUAUAAUACGGUAUAAUUUGCAUAUUUGGUAUAAAGCUCUUAUCUAUAUCAGGCCCAAAGAACUUUGCUUUUUGACCAAAAGGCUUAUUAAGAUAUUUUCUCCAAACCAAAUUCAACAGUGUAUUAGAAGAAUCAUGUACCAUGAUCAAGUGAGAUUUAUCCCUGGGAUGCAACAAUGAUUCAACAUAUGCAAAUGAAUAAAUGUGAUACACCACAUUAACAGAAUCAAGAAUAAAAAUUAAAUGAACAUCUCAACUGAGGCAGAAAAAGCAGUCCAAAAAAUCCAAUUUUUUAAUGAUAAAAAUUCUCAACAAAUAAAGUAUAGAAUGUUCCUCCAUAUCACUAUCAGGGAAAUGCAAAUAAAAACAUCAGAGAGAUUUCUUCACAUCUAUUAGAAUGUUUAUUAUCAAAAGGUGAAAGGUAAGUGUUAGUGAGAAUAGAAAGAAAGGAAACUUUUUACAUUGUUGGUAAAAAUGUAAAUUUGUACAGUCAUUAGGAAAAAACAUAGAAAUUCCUCAAAAGAUUAAAAAAAGAACUACCACAUGAUCUUGAAAUCUCAUUUCUGGGUAUAUAUCCAAAGGAAAUAAAAUCAGUAUGUUGAAGAGACAUCUGCACUCCAUGUUCCUUGCAGCAUUAUUUACUAUGGCCAAGAUAUAAAAUCAAGCUAAAUCUCCAUUAAUGGAUGAAUGGAUGGAGAAAAUAUGGUGUAUAUAUACAGUGGAUUAUUAUUCAACCUUAAAAAAGACAGAAAUUCUGCCAUUUGCAACAACGUGGAUGAACCUGGAGGUGAAAUAAGCUAUGCACAGAAAGACAAAUACUGCAUGAUUUCUCUUAUAUGUGGAAUCUAAAAAGCAGAACUCAUUGAAGUAGAGAGUACAAUGGUGGUUGUCAGGAGCUGAGGAGUCAGGAAACAGGAAAAUGUUCAUUAAAGGGUAAGAAGUUUCAGCUAUGUAUGGGGAAUAAAUUUUGGAGUUCUAAUACACAGCAUGAGGACUAUAGUUAAUAAUACUGUAUUGUGUAUUUGGAACUCACUAAGAGAGUAGAUCUUAAAUGGUCUUAUCACACCCACAUACAAGGUAACUGUGAUGUGAUGGAUAUAGUAACUUGCUUGAUUGUGGCAAUCUUUUCACAAUAUAUGUGUAUACCAAAACAUCACGUUGUACCCCUUAAAUAUGUACAACUUUUACUUAUCACUUUUAAUUCAAUGAAACUGAAUAGAAGCGAUAUUUUCUGGAAUAAGAGUCUUUGACCUCUAAGGCAAUUGCUACUACUCCCCUGGAUUAUGGGAGAAAAGACAGUUUAGUUUUUUUCUCAUUUUUUUUCUUCUUCUUGUAUAUUUUAAUCUCAUAUGUGAAACAGAUAAGAUCACCAAAUCUGAUUCAAAUUAAAUAUAGAUCAAGUGUGGGCAAACUUUUCCUAGAAAGGGGUAGUAAACAUUUUAGACUUUUCCCAUUUUAUGAUCUCUGUCACAACUCAUCUCUGUCACAACUCAUCUCUGUCACAACUGCUGCAACAAAAAUCUCCUGUUGAAUCAUAAAGUGGCCACAGACAAUACAUAAGUAAGUAGUUAUAACUGUGUUCCUGUAAAACUUUAUUCACAAAAACACAUGGUGGGAUUUGGGAACAAGACAUAAUUGGCCAACCUGCCAUCUAGAGAGACUGACUCUAGAGCCCUGGUCAAUCAUCUGCCACUCCUUUCCAUAUUCCCCUUUCUUGUUCUAUUUAUGAUCCCGUGGAAGUUUCCUCUGAGCUCUAUUGAUUCUAAGGGAUACAGUUUGGAAAGGCACGUUUAUGGAAAAUACAUGAAGAGUCUUAAAUUUCAGAAUCACAUAAGUUUAAUGAAAAAAUUUGUUAAAGACUAAAUGUGUUUUUAAGUCAUGUUUUUCAUAUGUCUGAAUUUGGAAUUUAGAUCUAUGGUAGAAGUAGAAACUUUCCACGUGAAUUUUUCCAGAAGAAUAGAAGUUUCUUGCAGUAGAGUUAUACGUAUGUAUUUCUUGCCCCAUUAGGGCUGUGAACUUCUUAAAAGUGGGUAUUUUAUUUUUCUCAUAUCUAUGCCAAGCAUAAUAAUUUAUAUAGAAUAAGUGGUUAGUUAAUAUAGAAUAAUUGCAUUGAAAAAUUUGCAUCCUUCUGUAUUUUGAGAUUGUUAGCACUUUAUCCUAAUUAUCAGAUUAGUCUCUGGAAAUAAAUGAAAAUGAAAUUUUUAUAAACCCUAUUUCCUCUUAAAGUCACUGGCAUUCAUAGGAAAGAUAGUUGCUUAGGAUAAUUAAAUCUUAAAUACUUUAGAAGUAUCCCAUAUUUGGAAAAUAGCCCAGGAAUCACUGGGGGAAAAGAGAGAAAAAAUAAUUGGUUAUGCAGCCGUUUAGACAUCCAAACUUCCUGAAUAACAACUCCAAAUUCUAUUUCGUUUUCUUUUGAAAAGAGGGGCUGGCUACUGUUGGGCCAGUCUGACUUCUAUGACCACCUUCCUUCUGAAGAGCUUUGCUCAUGAUUGACUAGGGACUCAAGCUGAUUGACAGGUUUUCCCAUUGCUGAACAUAUAUUAGAGGCCUGUGUUAAUUAAGAAAUUCUCCCAACUACUUCAAUUUUUUUAGGGUAUACCCUUAGAUUCUGGUAAUUUAUUCAAAACCAAACAAAUGGGUGCCCAGAAUUGUCCAUUUUCAGGUUGUAUAAGGUGUGUGCUCUGUGCUCUCGUUUAAAAACAAGCAAGUAAAGAAACAAGAAAACUUGAACAACAAAGCUAAAAUACAGUUCUCCCAUUGAGUGCAUUCUAACUUUUUAUUUUAUUUUAUUUUAUUUUAUCUUUGGUUAUUUUUCUUAGGUAAAGAACAGCUUCAUUACUGGGUACAAAAAAAAGCAAGAUAAAGAUCAAAACAAACCAUGUGCCACGAGUCCUAAAUAUAUAUCACCAUUCAUUAUGAAAUGUUUAUUCUUAACAAUGAAGUGCUUAAAAAACAAAAUCAAGCUGAAACUUCUAUUUUCCAGUGAAGAACCAAGAUGGAGAUCAUCAACUGGGCAACAUUUGUGGUGUAAUUUCAUGUAGAUCACUGUCAUAAGCUUAUUUUAUACACAAGCACCCAUGUAAAUGUGCACACACUCAAUAGCAAUAUAUGUAGCUCUUUCGUGGAUCAAUUGCCAUAAAAUAUAUAUUAAAAAAUUAUGGCUUGCA
Long non-coding RNA from Homo sapiens (human), 5757 nucleotides. RefSeq lists it as uncharacterized. The transcript is spliced from 2 exons. The record is from RefSeq and is a predicted model, not a curated record. NCBI's taxonomy places the organism in Eukaryota, Metazoa, Chordata, Mammalia, Primates, Hominidae.